AUUGAACGCUGGCGGCAUGCCUAACACAUGCAAGUCGAACGCUACUUGAGGGGCAACUCUUAAGUGGAGUGGCGGACGGGUGAGUAAUACGUAGGAAUCUGCCUUAGAGUGGGGGAUAACCUGUCGAAAGACGGGCUAAUACCGCAUAACCUCUACGGAGCAAAGGGGGCUAGCAAUAGCUUUCGCUUUAAGAUGAGCCUACGUCGGAUUAGCUAGUUGGUAGGGUAAAGGCCUACCAAGGCGACGAUCCGUAGCUGGUCUGAGAGGACGACCAGCCACACAGAAACUGAGACACGGGCCAGACUCCUACGGGAGGCAGCGGUGGGGAAUAUUGGACAAUGGGGGAAACCCUGAUCCAGCAAUGCCGCGUGUGAGAUGAAGGCCUGCGGGUUGUAAAGCACUUUCGGUGGGGAAGAAAUACUCAAAUAUAAUACAUUUGAGAGCUGACAUUACCCAAAGAAGAAGCACCGGCAAACUCUGUGCCAGCCGCCGCCGUAA
This 498-nucleotide ribosomal RNA is filed under the name uncultured bacterium. RNAcentral describes it as "partial 16S ribosomal RNA". It matches the Rfam family "Bacterial small subunit ribosomal RNA", at positions 30 to 523 of the family's 1533-position model. The record is from RNAcentral.